This is a non-coding RNA of Tinamus guttatus (white-throated tinamou), 296 nucleotides long. NCBI's taxonomy places the organism in Eukaryota, Metazoa, Chordata, Aves, Tinamiformes, Tinamidae. The record is from RefSeq and is a predicted model, not a curated record.
CGGUUAAAAACUACACCAAAUGUCACGUGAGAAAUGAACAGAUCUGCAAUAAACUGACGAGCUGUAAGAGCUGCUCGCUGCACCUGAACUGCCAGUGGGACCAGCGGCAGCAGGAGUGCCAGGCGCUCCCCGCUCAUCUAUGUGGGGAAGGAUGGAGUCAUAUUGGAGAUGCCUGCCUCCGUAUAAAUUCUAGUCGUGAAAGCUAUGACAAUGCCAAACUCUAUUGCUACAAUUUAAGUGGGAAUCUUGCCUCAUUAACAACCUCAAAAGAAGUGGAAUUUGUUCUGGAUGAAAUA